GCAGUGGCUGGCCGUAGAGUUCAAGGCGCCGUGCCAAGCAUAGAGCGGAGGAACUCAUCGCCGGCAAUGCCAAGGCAUUAAAAUCUCUACGAAAAUUUAUCAAUUUCAAUCUCCUACUCUCUCGCGAGGCUCAAAUACUCAUCCUCAAGGUACAAUUUCACUUCACAGUUCAUACCAUACUACUUUUAAUAUUCUUGGUAAACCUAAUUCACAACGUUGUAGAGCUCAAUUUUAACUUCCGACAAAGUCGGUUGAUGGCUGUAAGUCAGCCCCGACCUCCGAGCCGCCAUUGUUGCAUAUAUAUAUAGGAUAAUGCUAUAUGACCCAAGUUGGGUUACAAACUUGGGUAACAAAAUGACGUGUAGGGCUGAGAUUAAAAGGCACUGGAUGGCUGUGAUUUAUUAACAGUAAAAAUUGGGUCAACAAGGCGCGAAAACCAAAACCUGGUCUCUGCGUAAUGGAAGGAAGACGAAAUUAGGUCAGUGGAAGGUGCCAAAGACAUUACCCCAUCUUCUACUACCUCACCUUGCAUUUCACGUCCUAAAAUCCACACUUGUGUUUCGUAGAAGAAAGGCAGCAAGUGCCAUGUCCAAUCUCCAUCUCCGGCAGUGGUCAGUCCGAUCUCCAUCUUGGACAGGUCCGGCUCCAUCUCCGGCAGUAGCAGUCCAAUCUCCACCUUCGACAGGUCUGACUCCUUCUCCGGUUGUAGGUAUGUUCCAUUAAUUACAAAAAUUAAUUUUAAACUCUGUUAUACUAGUGUAUGGGAAAUGAAACAGAUUAGAAAAAAAUGCUAAAUAACUAUUUUAGUGCGCUUCAUCUUCUCUCUCUCUCUCUCUAAAUUAUUUUCUUAUGUACCAUUGAAUGCAAUGGAAGGAAAUGAUUGUGAAGCACACGGUUUACUGAUGUUCUAUUUGUCUCCGGCAGUAGCAGUCCAAUCUCCACCUUCGACAGGUCUGACUCCUUCUCCGGUUGUAGGUAUGUUCCAUUAAUUACAAAAAUUAAUUUUAAACUCUGUUAUACUAGUGCCUGCAUUUUUGUAUUCUAUAGACAAACAAUUUGGACGUCUCUUCUGCAUUUUGUUUGUUCAAACAUUACAACCCUCUAGCUUACCUCAGACUUCAUGCUUAUUUGGCAUAUUUGGUCUCGGAAUUUAGUCCACCUGAGCUAGACUCUAUUAAGUUGACAUUUAGUUCCCAGUGGUGCGAAAAUAAUACUCAUAUUUGACAUUUAGGAUUUUAUGAAUUGAGUAUUGUGUGCGGGGUUAUUGAGUACUGCGAUUUUGAACUCAAUCUAAUCAAUUUCCUUGUCUUUUUUUUUUUCAAAUUACAGGUGAGCACAUAAGGUUUCUGGUGUCAGUAAAGUUUGAGGAGGAGAAUGUGGAAUACGACGUGGAAGACUGAGAAAGCUGAAGGAGAACAGUUGGAGAAGGAAAGCUUAUUUUGGGAUGCAAGGCAAAGGUUGUGUAUAUGUUUGGGAUCCAGUUGCUAACAGGGAAAUUUGGAUUUGGAUUUUGAUUGUGGUUUAAUAAAAGUUCCGAUAUGAAUGUCGAUGAGUAUUAUGUAAUAGCUGCUUAUGAAAAAGAAGUGAAUGCAUUUUAUGUAAGAUGUGCAUAUGCCGUAGGUUUUCCAAUUCGGAAGAGGAGUUCGACAAGGGAUGAUCAUGGUGUUUUGAGAUAUGUUACAUUCACAUGUAGUCAAGAGGGACGAAGAAGGGAUAAUUUGUAUGGUAGUUGCUAGGUUGUUCUUAAUCUUUCGAAAGUGCAGUUGGUAUGUUGUUGACAUUGUGUAUUGUAUCAAUUAUUCCCUUGAUUGGUAUUAAAAAAAAAAAAUUUAGCUUUAGAUCUAUAGUUUUGCCUACUAUUUAUUAAAGGAGUGCUUGAUGUUCUUGAGUUUUGUUCAUGAUAAAUUUUGCCUUAAAUCAUUUAAUAUUCUGUAGUUUGCACUGCAUACUUAUGGAGUGAUGAAUUUCCUAUGUAAUAGGUUGAUAAUUGUAUUUGUAACAGG
RNAcentral lists this long non-coding RNA (2003 nucleotides) under Olea europaea (common olive). RNAcentral describes it as "long non-coding RNA (OEUR_LNC002911)". Lineage: Eukaryota; Viridiplantae; Streptophyta; Magnoliopsida; Lamiales; Oleaceae. The record is from RNAcentral.